GACGAACGCUGGCGGCGUGCUUAACACAUGCAAGUCGAACGGAAAGGCCCUGCUUUUGUGGGGUGCUCGAGUGGCGAACGGGUGAGUAACACGUGAGUAACCUGCCCUUGACUUUGGGAUAACUUCAGGAAACUGGGGCUAAUACCGGAUAGGAGCUCCUGCUGCAUGGUGGGGGUUGGAAAGUUUCGGCGGUUGGGGAUGGACUCGCGGCUUAUCAGCUUGUUGGUGGGGUAGUGGCUUACCAAGGCUUUGACGGGUAGCCGGCCUGAGAGGGUGACCGGCCACAUUGGGACUGAGAUACGGCCCAGACUCCUACGGGAGGCAGCAGUGGGGAAUAUUGCACAAUGGGCGGAAGCCUGAUGCAGCAACGCCGCGUGCGGGAUGACGGCCUUCGGGUUGUAAACCGCUUUCGCCUGUGACGAAGCGUGAGUGACGGUAAUGGGUAAAGAAGCACCGGCUAACUACGUGCCAGCAGCCGCGGUGAUACGUAGGGUGCGAGCGUUGUCCGGAUUUAUUGGGCGUAAAGGGCUCGUAGGUGGUUGAUCGCGUCGGAAGUGUAAUCUUGGGGCUUAACCCUGAGCGUGCUUUCGAUACGGGUUGACUUGAGGAAGGUAGGGGAGAAUGGAAUUCCUGGUGGAGCGGUGGAAUGCGCAGAUAUCAGGAGGAGCACCAGUGGCGAAGGCGGUUCUCUGGGCCUUUCCUGACGCUGAGGAGCGAAAGCGUGGGGAGCGAACAGGCUUAGAUACCCUGGUAGUCCACGCUGUAAACGGUGGGUACUAGGUGUGGGGUCCAUUCCACGGGUUCCGUGCCGUAGCUAACGCUUUAAGUACCCCGCCUGGGGAGUACGGCCGCAAGGCUAAAACUCAAAGGAAUUGACGGGGCCCCGCACAAGCGGCGGAGCAUGCGGAUUAAUUCGAUGCAACGCGUAGAACCUUACCUGGGUUUGACAUGGAUCGGGAGCGCUCAGAGAUGGGUGUGCCUCUUUUGGGGUCGGUUCACAGGUGGUGCAUGGCUGUCGUCAGCUCGUGUCGUGAGAUGUUGGGUUAAGUCCCGCAACGAGCGCAACCCUUGUUCACUGUUGCCAGCACGUUAUGGUGGGGACUCAGUGGAGACCGCCGGGGUCAACUCGGAGGAAGGUGGGGAUGACGUCAAGUCAUCAUGCCCCUUAUGUCCAGGGCUUCACGCAUGCUACAAUGGCUGGUACAGAGAGUGGCGAGCCUGUGAGGGUGAGCGAAUCUCGGAAAGCCGGUCUCAGUUCGGAUUGGGGUCUGCAACUCGACCUCAUGAAGUCGGAGUCGCUAGUAAUCGCAGAUCAGCAACGCUGCGGUGAAUACGUUCCCGGG
This 1343-nucleotide ribosomal RNA is filed under the name uncultured bacterium. Its description in RNAcentral is "16S ribosomal RNA". It matches the Rfam family "Bacterial small subunit ribosomal RNA", at positions 28 to 1378 of the family's 1533-position model. The record is from RNAcentral.